This is a long non-coding RNA of Pistacia vera, 1152 nucleotides long. RefSeq lists it as uncharacterized. The transcript has 4 exons. The record is from RefSeq and is a predicted model, not a curated record. Lineage: Eukaryota; Viridiplantae; Streptophyta; Magnoliopsida; Sapindales; Anacardiaceae.
GGAUUAUUUUUGUUGUAAAUUUCAGUAAGCAAAAGCUGUAUAUGAGGAAUUGUGGAAUGGUUCUUACUUCAACUACGACAAUAAUGGUAGCCGCUCAAGUUCAUCUAUUCAAGCUAAUCAGUUUACUGGACAAUGUUAUGCACGAGCAUGUGCUCUUUCAGCGAUAGUUGAUGAAGACAAAGCAAAAAGAGCAUUAGAGAAGGUUUUUCUCUAUAAUAUCUUAAAGAAUAUGGAUGCACCGAUCAAUGGGAUCUACCUGUUGGAACAGUUGACAUGACAACAUUGCAUUCAAGAAAAAUAUGGUCUGGUGUUACAUAUGCAGUUGCUGUAACGAUGAUUGUGGAGAUUUGGUUGAUAUGGGAUUUCAAAUUGCCAUUGAAAUCUAUGAAGCAGUAUGGUCUAAAAAUGGACUCGAGUGAGAACCCCCUAAGUUUAUCAAACACUGUUAUCUUAUAGCUUAGUUAAUAGGCUGUUAACUAAGGUAUGAGUUUGUGUUUUUUAGAUCUAAAUCUAUCUCAAAUCUGUAUAGAUUUCAUUGCAUCAUUUGUUUUGUCAGUUCAUUUAUUUUUUUGGUGGAUGUGCCGUUUAACCAUUUUCUAUUAGAUUCUUGAUGUUGUGAAAUGUUGGACAAAACUCCUGUAGUUAUAAUGUCUAGUAGAUAAUAUUUUUGCUCCUUAGGUGAUGAAGGAGGAGAAGAAUAACAUAGAUAGAUAAUAUAGGAUUCUAUAUAGGGAGAUAGAGAGAAAUUAAUAGGUUAAGAGGAGAAAUCAAGAAAUGGAUACCAAGGAUUGAAAUACUCUAUCCUAAAAUGUAGAAGAUAAGGACUAAAUACCCGUUUGCACCCGUCCUUUACUUCUUGCAUCGUCAAGUUACUACCUUUAGGACAAUUUUCUGUCGAUUACAAUUGGAAACUUUAUAUUCUGCAUAAUUUACACUGAAAAUUAUCUGCUUCAGAAUUAUUUGUUCCUGAUAAUUCAUUGACUCAUUGUUGUUUUCUGCGUAGUUAUUCUUUCUAAACUCCUGAAGCUUGGACCACUGUUGAUUGUUUUAGAGCGCUAAGUUACAAGCAUUCUUUGGCCGUAUGGGCAAUGGGCUCUUACAAGGCCAAAACCUUGUAAGAAUGGAAUGAAACCAUCAAUAAAUGAAGAAUGU